This 254-nucleotide ribosomal RNA is filed under the name uncultured bacterium. RNAcentral describes it as "partial 16S ribosomal RNA". It matches the Rfam family "Bacterial small subunit ribosomal RNA", at positions 524 to 776 of the family's 1533-position model. The record is from RNAcentral.
UACGGGGGGAGCAAGCGUUGUUCGGAUUUACUGGGCGUAAAGGGCGCGUAGGCGGCCACCGCAAGUCAGUUGUGAAAUCUCUGGGCUUAACCCAGAACGGUCAGCUGAUACUGCGGGGCUAGAGUGCAGAAGGGGCAACUGGAAUUCUCGGUGUAGCAGUGAAAUGCGUAGAUAUCGAGAGGAACACCUGCGGCGAAGGCAGCCCCCUGGGUCAAAACUGACGCUCAUGCACGAAAGCGUGGGGAGCAAACAGG